Long non-coding RNA from Rosa chinensis, 248 nucleotides. RefSeq lists it as uncharacterized. The transcript has 3 exons. Lineage: Eukaryota; Viridiplantae; Streptophyta; Magnoliopsida; Rosales; Rosaceae. The record is from RefSeq and is a predicted model, not a curated record.
AAGAAGAUGGUUCAAAGUGGAAGUGGGGCAAGAUCUCUUUGUUGUUGCAGCUAGCUCUCAAGGAUGAUUGAAAUGAAGAAGUAAGAAAGAAGAACUGAUAAGCAAGGAGUCACUUUCCGAUCAGAUAAUGAACCAUACAAGAAACACAUGGAGCAAUAUGUGAACAAGAUAAUGAAGAUGAUGAAGGAUGAAAAGCUAUUUGCUCCACAAGGAGGUCCAAUCAUCUUAGCUCAGAUUGAAAAUGAGUA